GACGAACGCUGGCGGCGUGCUUAACACAUGCAAGUCGAACGGAAAGGCCCUGCUUUUGUGGUGUGCUCGAGUGGCGAACGGGUGAGUAACACGUGAGUAACCUGCCCUUGACUUUGGGAUAACUUCAGGAAACUGGGGCUAAUACCGGAUAGGAGCUCCUGCUGCAUGGUGGGGGUUGGAAAGUUUCGGCGGUUGGGGAUGGACUCGCGGCUUAUGAGCUUGUUGGGCGGGUAGUGGCUUACCAAGGCUUUGACGGGUAGCCGGCCUGGGAGGGGGGACGGCGACCAUGCGCCUGCGAUAGGCACCAGUAGCCUACCGGCCGCAGUAGUCGGGAGUAUUGCGCAGCAGCCCGGCGUCAGAUGUGGCGGCGCCCCGAGCGGGAUGCUGGGCUACGAGUUAAGAACAGAUGUGGAAGGAGCCGAAGCCAGCGUGACGGUACUUAAUAAGAAAGCAACGGCUAACUACGUG
RNAcentral lists this ribosomal RNA (468 nucleotides) under uncultured bacterium. Its description in RNAcentral is "partial 16S ribosomal RNA". It matches the Rfam family "Bacterial small subunit ribosomal RNA", at positions 28 to 507 of the family's 1533-position model. The record is from RNAcentral.